AGUGAACGCUGGCGGUAGGCCUAACACAUGCAAGUCGAACGACCGCACAGUAAGAUCUUGCUCUUACGGGUGGCGAGUGGCGGACGGGUGAGGAAUACAUCGGCAUCUACUUUUUCGUGGAGGAUAACGUAGGGCAACUUACGCUAAUACCGCAUACGACCUACGGGUGAAAGCAGGGGAUCUUCGGACCUUGCGCGAUUGAAUGAGCCGAUGUCGGAUUAGCUAGUUGGCGGGGUAAAGGCCCACCAAGGCGACGAUCCGUAGCUGGUCUGAGAGGAUGAUCAGCCACACUGGAACUGAGACACGGUCCAGACUCCUACGGGAGGCAGCAGUAGGGAAUAUUGGACAAUGGGCGAAAGCCUGAUCCAGCCAUACCGCGUGAGUGAAGAAGGCCUUCGGGUUGUAAAGCCCUGUUGUUGGGAAAGAAAAGCAGCAGGUUAAUACCCCGCUGUUCUGACGGUACCCAAAGAAUAAGCACCGGCUAACUUCGUG
Molecule: ribosomal RNA, 492 nt
Filed under: uncultured bacterium
Lineage: Bacteria
Description: partial 16S ribosomal RNA
Rfam family: Bacterial small subunit ribosomal RNA
Source: RNAcentral